Molecule: ribosomal RNA, 248 nt
Filed under: uncultured bacterium
Lineage: Bacteria
Description: partial 16S ribosomal RNA
Rfam family: Bacterial small subunit ribosomal RNA
Source: RNAcentral
AACGAACGCUGGCGGCAGGCUUAACACAUGCAAGUCGAACGGGCACCUUCGGGUGUCAGUGGCAGACGGGUGAGUAACGCGUGGGAACGUACCCUUCGGUUCGGAAUAACCCAGGGAAACUUGGGCUAACACCGGAUACGUCCGCAAGGAGAAAGAUUUAUCGCCGAAGGAUCGGCCCGCGUCGGAUUAGCUAGUUGGGUGGGGUAAUGGCCCACCAAGGCGACGAUCCGUAGCUGGUCUGAGAGGAU